GGCCCAAAAUGAGCAACUGCCAUGUGAUGGAACAUCAUCUUCUGGAGCAGUCAUUAACUUGUGUGGCAUCUGUGUCUCAGGUUCUACUGGGAGACCUCCAGACACAGAUAUUGAUACAUGUGGCGUCUGUAAGGGUGGUAAUCGCUGCGUGGGUUGUGAUGGACAUCCAGGCUCCAAGCUAAAACUGGAUGGUUGUGGACAUUGCCUACCCACUGAUGAUAUAAAUUUUAACAAUUGCACAUAUAUCCUGUCUGUGUGGCCACCUGUUGUUGACCUACUUUUGGACAGGGAUGUGAAAUUGCAAUUGAUUGGUGCUGGACUAUCACACUCAGUACUGCCAGAUAUUAGCUGCAGUGUUUCAAGCAAUGUAAAUGACCAGGUAAAAUUACCAGUAGUGUUACAAGAAGUGGAGGAGGAUGUGAUUGAGCUGGAGGUGGAUGCUCGUGUUGCUGCUCCAGGUCUAUACAGUAUUAAGUGUGAAUCUAAUGGAAUUCCUGGAAAUUUAGUCAAUGGUUCUGCUGAACUUCUUGUUGCUGAUAGUAGCAGCCUGGGUAUUGAGAAAGUUGAACCCACAACUGUUAAGA
This is a long non-coding RNA of Schistocerca serialis cubense, 584 nucleotides long. RefSeq lists it as uncharacterized. The transcript has 4 exons. NCBI's taxonomy places the organism in Eukaryota, Metazoa, Arthropoda, Insecta, Orthoptera, Acrididae. The record is from RefSeq and is a predicted model, not a curated record.